AGUUUUUAUUUUCUGAUUCUGAGAACUCUUGUUCUUGGCAUGCUUUCUCUUGCAACCCAGCCACCAGGCUGUGAAAAGUCCAGACUACUCUGGUACAGCAGCCCAGCUGAGUUUCCAGCUGACAGCUAGGUUGAAUGACCAGGUUUUCAGUGAGCCAUCUUGUCUGUUCCAGCCCAUUUGAAUCCUCAGGUGACUACAGUCCCAACCAUCAUCAUAUGGAAUAGAAGAACUGCCCAGGCUAUUGCUCUUACAGAAGAAAUUCCUUCCACCAUUCUUGUCCACAGGAUAUCUCCACCCACCUACACUAUCUCCAAGUCCACAGGAGAGAUGGGGUUGCAAAGCAAGUAAAUGCACUGAAUUCCAAAGAGUCACAAAGUCUGAAAAGAAAAUAUCACCUUUCACAAAGCAUAUGAGGAUGAGGUGAUCACCAUAAAAGAAAAAAAAUCAUUGCCAGCAGACCUUCACUUCAAGAAAUGUUAAAGGAAAUUCUUCAUUCAGCAGGAACAUGAGACCAGAUGGAAAUUUGAAUUUAUACAAAGAAAUGAAAAGUGCCAGAAAAAAUAAAAUAAAGGUAAAGGUUUUCUGCUACAAAUCAUAUUUCCUGAUAUAGAGUGAAAAGGCAAAGGAAUCUCCUGAUAGAAGAGUAGAAUCCAAAAAUAAUCUGAGAGCAAUUGAAGGUCAUGGUGAGGAACAUGAACGUUGAAAUGGAGGAAACAUGGGUUUGAUUGCCAAUUCUACCCCUCUCAAGUUCUUUGGUUUGGGGUAAAUGAGUCAACCUUACUAGAUUCGGUUCAAUGGAACUAACAUGAAAUCAUUUGCUAUUGAACAUCUAUCUCUACAGGGCACCAUUCUAGGUGUUAGAAGUUCCCCAAUGAACAAGACAGAGAAGAUACAGGAUAUCAUGGAGCUUAAAUUGUUUAGUUUGUCAGAGGAGGGAAAACAAUAACAAGUAGGCAAAUUACAAAGAUAAUUUUAUAUAUUUAUGUUAUAGGUGGUAAGAAAUAAAAGUAAAUAAUAUGUUAGAGAGAUCCUGGGUCCUUCUUUAGAUGGAAAUUAUGGAAAGCCUCUCUGAGAAGGAGAUAUCUGAGGUGAAACAGAAGGAAAACUCUCCUAUGUGAAAAUCAAGAGAGGGGCGCCUGGGUGGCUCAAUCCGUUAA
Long non-coding RNA from Herpailurus yagouaroundi (jaguarundi), 1157 nucleotides. RefSeq lists it as uncharacterized. The record is from RefSeq and is a predicted model, not a curated record. The transcript is spliced from 6 exons. Lineage: Eukaryota; Metazoa; Chordata; Mammalia; Carnivora; Felidae.